AUUCAUCUCCAUUCUUACAACACAAUCACAAAUUUGACGAUAACUAGCAGAGAAUGUAAGGAUUUGACGAUUACUCUCAUAUGAUAACCUCUAUACAGAUGAUUUCAGGCUCUCUGGAAAGGUAAGAUUCAAUUAUUAUUUUUCUGUAAACGUGAUUAUAAAAGGGUAAAGCCCUGUUCUUUUCAUUGUCGCUGCAUCAGCGAUCGGCGACCAAGAAUUAUAACUGAGUUGAGACACGUGUCUAUGGUGAGUAACACCGGCAACACCAUUAAAACAGUCGCAGCGACUCCUUUUCACCAUUCCAACUGUCGCUCAUUUUUCCAGCGACAACGGCGAUACCCGUGGAAGUGAUCGCAUCGACUCUUUUUUAAUUAUUCUCCAUUUAUGUGGAAAUUCUGGUCGCUUAAAGCUAUCGCAGCGAUUUUAAACCGAACAGGGCCUAAGCCGUUUUUCUAGAAAACGGUUCAAAUAGCUUGACAAAAUGCUAAUUGUGUAUCACACCUAUACUCGUGAUAAUUUAUAUAAAAAUAAUUUCAUUCAUAUGUUAAUAUAAAUGACAUGUUUACUUAGUCUAUAUCAAAAUUAUAGAACAAAUUUCGAGAAACAGAAGAAGAGAAGAAGCCAUGAAGCUAACUAGUACAGUCACAAAAGGACGACACCGUUUCGAAAUUGGGCCAGAGACAAAACUAAAC
Molecule: small RNA, 692 nt
Filed under: Arabidopsis thaliana (thale cress)
Lineage: Eukaryota; Viridiplantae; Streptophyta; Magnoliopsida; Brassicales; Brassicaceae
Description: ATSL177720
Source: RNAcentral